RNAcentral lists this ribosomal RNA (196 nucleotides) under uncultured bacterium. Its description in RNAcentral is "partial 16S ribosomal RNA". It matches the Rfam family "Bacterial small subunit ribosomal RNA", at positions 335 to 524 of the family's 1533-position model. The record is from RNAcentral.
AUUCCUACGGGAGGCAGCAGUGGGGAAUUUUGGACAAUGGGGGAAACCCUGAUCCAGCAAUGCCGCGUGAGUGAAGAAGGCCUUCGGGUUGUAAAGCUCUUUUGUCAGGGAAGAAACACCGGCUCUAACACAGUCCGGGAAUGACGGUACCUGAAGAAUAAGCACCGGCUAACUACGUGCCAGCAGCCGCGGUAAU